RNAcentral lists this small RNA (249 nucleotides) under Drosophila virilis. Its description in RNAcentral is "GJ26076". The record is from RNAcentral. Lineage: Eukaryota; Metazoa; Arthropoda; Insecta; Diptera; Drosophilidae.
AUUUAGCCGGACAUUUUUCUCUUCAGAUACGGUUAUCUUCAAGCUGUUAUUUAUAAUUUCGUACUCGCGAACAUUUCCGGCAUUUUAAUCCAGAAUUUCUUGUUCUUAUGGCGACCUUCGUAUGAUACCGGAGCCCACAAAAAAAAACCGCCAGAAAUUAUUGCCAGUCAACAAAGGAAAGGAAAACAAGGGGAGAAAUAUAAACACAGACGCAGAAAUCUUUUGGCCCUUUCCUUUACUUAAUUUAAA